AUAGGCUUCUCCAAACAGAGCUGGGAACCAGCGCGACCGAGCCAAUGGAGGCUAAGGGAGAAGAUAAACACUUCACUUCACGCAUACUACUCCUCUACAAAGAGCAGGCUCUGUGCCUCCGCUCAGCCCUGCCACAGAACCGUCUUGUAACCACAUGCCCCUGGUCCCAAGGCCCUCUGUCUCUGGCUUGUCUGUUCCACCCUGUCUGAGACUUCAAUGGCUUGACUACACCUGUCAGUCCGUAUGCUACUGACAUCAAAAUGCGACGCUACAUCCACUGUCAAUCUCUCACAUCCAAAAGUGACAUCUAAACAUGGAAGGAAGGGGCUUGGUCAACGACAGGACAGGACGUCAGGCAGGCUUCCUCUGGUUGUGCCACCACCACAGACGGUUCCUGUGUCACAUUCUGACCUUUAUUUCCUUUGUUUUGUCUUUAUUUAGUUGGUCAGAGCGUGAGUUGGGGUGGGUUGUCUAUGUGUGAUUUUCUAUGUUGGGGUUUUGAGUUCGGCCUGGUAUGGUUCUCAAUCAGAGGCAGCUGUCAAUCGUUGUCCCUGAUUGAGAAUCAUACUUAGGUAGCCUGGGUUUCACUUUUGGUUUGUGGGUGUUUGUGUCCGUGUCAGUGUUUGUCGCCACACGGUACUGUUUCGGUUUCGUUCGUUUCACAUUGUUUUGUAUUUUGUAGUGUUCAGUUUAUGUCUUUAAGUAAACAUUAUGGACACUUA
Salvelinus fontinalis (brook trout) is the source of this 722-nucleotide long non-coding RNA. RefSeq lists it as uncharacterized. The transcript has 2 exons. Lineage: Eukaryota; Metazoa; Chordata; Actinopteri; Salmoniformes; Salmonidae. The record is from RefSeq and is a predicted model, not a curated record.